This 253-nucleotide ribosomal RNA is filed under the name uncultured bacterium. RNAcentral's name for it is "partial 16S ribosomal RNA". It matches the Rfam family "Bacterial small subunit ribosomal RNA", at positions 524 to 776 of the family's 1533-position model. The record is from RNAcentral.
UUCGAAGGGGGCUAGCGUUGCUCGGAAUCACUGGGCGUAAAGGGUGCGUAGGCGGGUCUUUAAGUCAGGGGUGAAAUCCUGGAGCUCAACUCCAGAACUGCCUUUGAUACUGAGGAUCUUGAGUUCGGGAGAGGUGAGUGGAACUGCGAGUGUAGAGGUGAAAUUCGUAGAUAUUCGCAAGAACACCAGUGGCGAAGGCGGCUCACUGGCCCGAUACUGACGCUGAGGCACGAAAGCGUGGGGAGCAAACAGG